This is a non-coding RNA of Macaca mulatta (Rhesus monkey), 3157 nucleotides long. NCBI's taxonomy places the organism in Eukaryota, Metazoa, Chordata, Mammalia, Primates, Cercopithecidae. The record is from RefSeq and is a predicted model, not a curated record.
CUAAAACAGAAAAGUGAGCGCACACCUACUCCAUAUACGCAGGUAGUUCUGCCGCUGGCGAGACUGCAGCAUCCUUUCCACCCACUGCCUGUGUCUCAGCUCCGAGGCAAUGGUGACCUGGCCAGACACGUGGUGACACUGCUUGCCGAUGCUUUGGAGCACAACCAGCACUUCCAGCACAAUCCUGGGACAGAAGAGGGUAGGAAAGGGUGUGCUGCAGAGCUCACGGAGCAGCUGGGGCCACCUGCAAACAGAGCCAGACUUGGAGCAGGCAUUGUGAUCCUCACCUGUACCUCACUCUCCUGUACCUGCAAGGCUGCGGCUUUCUGGGAGCCAGAACUAGCUGCGUAUCACUGGUGGGUCUGCAGGGACAACCGUGACAUGCGGCAAGUGUUAAUUAAAUACACUGAAUUGUGGCAAACAGAAUGUGACAUUCACAGCCUCAUCAGAUGUGCCACGCUUGCACAGAGAUUGUCAAAACUGAUCUCAUAAUUCCUCUUGGAGUAGUAACAGUGAGAUUCUAAGACUACUUUAUAAAAUCUAAAACAUAGAAAAUGUCUAAGUUUGCUAUGCUAAUCUGCAGAAUCAAUGUUUUAACAGUUGUCCUGGAACUUACGUCUCAGUAGGAAGAUGAUCCAAGUCCUUUAAAACACAAUGAUUCUCAGGCACAUGGUGAUACAGCUCAUCCGUCAUUUUUGUAAUUAAACAGUGGCUGGCAUUUGUUUCAGAAUUAUCUUCUAAUCUGAAACAUAGAAAAUAUUUAAAGAUACAUGACAAUUAAAAUGCCCACAUUAGGGCCCAUGCACAAUAAUGGUUAAUGGUUCACUGAGCAGCAACCUGACUGUGAAUCUUAGUUUCCCCAAAUAUAAAAUGUAAAAAGCCACCAUCACGGGAUAGUGGAGAAAGAAACGAUGCCCCAUGCGAAAAGCAAAGUCCAAUGAUGACUGAUGACGAGACAAUGAACAACCUGCGUAUUCCUCCUGCUGAACAAGUAUGUCUGCUGUUGUCUACGAUUCCAGAAUGCAUGUCUCCAUCCCCACUUCUCUCCUGAGCUUCAGACCCAUCUUUCUUUCUGCCUACUCAGUAGUUCUCAUGGACGCCAUUGUCUACCCACAAAACCUGCCCCUCGUUCCAUGUUCAGUCUCCACCAGGGCCCCAGGCCAGCUGGAAGAUUGCAUUCAGCAUCACUUGCAGCUCCUCACAGCCACCAAGGCCCAGAAAUUCCUCCUUCCCCUUUUAUCUUCCAACAGCCUCGCUAAAGAAGAAAUGCUGCUGAAACUAACAGUACCAGACAAGCUUGAUGUCAGCCAGGCCCCAGGAUGCCACGUACCUGACUGCUUCCCAAGUUCUUUCGACACCUGCCAUUGAGAGGGAGGACCCCACCAAAUCUGCACGAGCUCUGAUGACUGGCCUGGAACCAGCAGAACACAGCAGGUGUGAAGAUGCUGCGUGUUAUGCAAAGCCAUGUGAGAGGCGCAGGUGCCUCUCCAGUUCAGGCCGCGCUCGGGGUGCAGCCACUGUCACCUUGAGACUGUCCCUGCAGGACCCCCAUGAAGCCUCCGGCCAACUUCCAGUCUUCUCAGACGCAACAUCCACGAAGCCCUGGGGGACCACAGCCGUCCACACCCAGGCCAGGCCACAGGACAGAUCCCUUGGCAGAUGCUCCCCAUUUCUAACCCACUAGCACAUGAACAAGUCAAACGGUGGCUGCUGACACCACGGAGCGUGAGUGGUCUCAACAGCAGGAAUAACCGAAGCCCAGGAUGCAAAGCUGCCUGAAUACCUGUGAGAUGCCAGGAGGGGGACAGGAAGUGGUAAGGACCCAAAUAGCCACCGUGGGGCGCAGGAGAGGAUGGUCUGGAGCCUCAGCAGCUCUGGUUGGAAGACAAAGCCUGCCUUCUUGAAGCUCCUCUUCCUUCCUAAGUCUUCCCUCCUCCCUACCUGCCCACCUCUACCUUCCUAAGGGCUUGCGCUUGGAAAGCAUGGCAAUCCCCACUGGUAAAGCUGAUCUGCGGCGCCAAUGGGGAAUGGCAUCCGACCAGUGCAGCCCGAUGCUCUGCCUCCAAGCCACACCUCCAGGAGGCUGUUUUCCCAACUUCACUGCUGACAACCCCCUUCUGACAGUAUUUUCCUUAAGGCAUUCUCAAGGAGGCCUCCGACUUCUCAAGGCACCAUUUCUUUAAAGCGCCUUUGCAAAUCUCUCCUGACCCGCUGUGUGUUGAUUUUACAGCUUCCUUUUAGAGGUAGUCUCAUUUGUGAAUUUUCACCUGCACAGCUGUCACGAUGCUUAUAUUCUUGGGGACUGUCUUUUUCAUCCCCUUGCACUACCCUUGUAUCCUCCCGUAUGUAGAAUAAAACACCUUCACUGAUUGCCAAAUUGGAACUUCCUGGCAGAAAUGCUUAAAAAAUUGUUUGUUUCAGUAAGUUAACAAAAGCUAGUCCGUGUAGGAGAAGAAAAACUGACAUUACUCACCACUGACAAAUAAAAACUGCUCCCAGCUCUGCGUUACUGCCUACAGCAAUAAAAGCCUGGCACGGGAUUCAGCAAAAACACUUCCCGGUGCUCAUCCAUUUAACACUAAAAACCUCAGUGCCAUCAGCACUGCAUUACUUUCAACAGCGAGACACGGAACUUGAGGCUCAGAAGACUAAGCAACCAGGCCAGGGCCACAGCAAGCACCAUGCUGGCUAGAAAGCUGGAUCUGCCCAACUCAAAGUCUGACUCAGCAGUCAAACUGCACCCUUCCAGCAUCUCUGCAAAAGACAGGUGGUUUCAGAGACGUACACACCCCUCCCAGCACCCUGCAUUCGGCAUACCUGUUUUUUUAGGCUGAAAAACCGGAUGGCAGCGAGAACCUUCUUCAAGACUAAUCAACAAUUCUACUGCUGCUUUUUCCUAGUUUAGAGAAAACAGUGGCUACUAUCGUGUUUGGGUAGACUUAGUUUUCUUCUAUUGAACUGUAGGCCAAUUAGAGUCCCCAUUUCUCAUUAUCUUUCUUCAAACAAUUUUUUGCAGCUAGAAAAGCAAACGCUUCACUAAAGUAGGUUUCACAUGGCAAGGAAAUCACAGCAAAUAAAAUGAUUUUAAAUGGAGGCCAUUAACAAUAAUAGAUCACAAAUGCCACACCCACCCUCUGUGCACAAAACUGGAGAUGAA